GAUGAACGCUAGCUACAGGCUUAACACAUGCAAGUCGAGGGGAAACGCCAUCCAAAGCUUGCUUUCGAUGGGCGUCGACCGGCGCACGGGCCAGUAACGAGUAUCCAACCUGCCCAUCACUUGGGGAUAACCUUGCGAAAGUAAGACUAAUACACAAUGAUAUCUCUAGAAGACAUCUGAAAGAGACUAAAGAUUUGUCGGUGAUGGACGGGGAUGAGUCUGAUUAGCUUGUGGGCGGGGUAACGGCCAACUAAGGCAACGAUCAGUAGGGGGUCUGAGAGGAAGGUCCCUGACAAGGAGACAGAGCCACGGUCCACAGUCCUACGGGAGGGAGCGGUACGGAAUAUUGGUCAAUGGGAGAGUGCAUGAACCAGGCAAGUAGCGUGCAGGAAGGCCGCCCUAUGGGUUGUAACCUGCUUUUAUAAGGCAAUAAUGUGAGAGUAGUGACCCUUUUUGUAUGUACCUUAUGAAUAAGCACCGGCUAAUUCCGUG
RNAcentral lists this ribosomal RNA (492 nucleotides) under uncultured bacterium. RNAcentral describes it as "partial 16S ribosomal RNA". It matches the Rfam family "Bacterial small subunit ribosomal RNA", at positions 28 to 507 of the family's 1533-position model. The record is from RNAcentral.